GAUGAACGCUGGCGGCGCGCCUAAUACAUGCAAGUCGAGCGAACGGACGAUAAGCUUGCUUCUCUGAUGUUAGCGGCGGACGGGUGAGUAACACGUGGAUAACCUACCUAUAAGACUGGGAUAACUUCGGGACACCGGAGCUAAUACCGGAUAAUAUUUUGAACCGCAUGGUUCAAAAGUGAAAGACGGUCUUGCUGUCACUUCUAGCUGGAUCCGCGCUGCAUUAGCUAGUUGGUAAGGUAACGGCUUACCAAGGCAACGAUGCAUAGCCGACCUGAGAGAGUGAUCGGCCACACUGGAACUGAGACACGGUCCAGGCUCCUACGGGAGGCAGCAGUAGGGAAUCUGCCGCAAUGGGCGAAAGCCUGACGGAGCGACGCCGCGUGAGUGAUGAAGGUCUUCGGAUCGUAAAACUCUGUUAUUAGGGAAGAACAUAUGUGUAAGUAACUGUGCACAUCUUGACGGUACCUAAUCAGAAAGCCACGGCUAACUACGUG
This 497-nucleotide ribosomal RNA is filed under the name uncultured bacterium. Its description in RNAcentral is "partial 16S ribosomal RNA". It matches the Rfam family "Bacterial small subunit ribosomal RNA", at positions 28 to 507 of the family's 1533-position model. The record is from RNAcentral.